Molecule: ribosomal RNA, 468 nt
Filed under: uncultured bacterium
Lineage: Bacteria
Description: partial 16S ribosomal RNA
Rfam family: Bacterial small subunit ribosomal RNA
Source: RNAcentral
GACGAACGCUGGCGGCGUGCUUAACACAUGCAAGUCGAACGGUAAGGCCCUGCUGUUGUGGGGUGCUCGAGUGACGAACGGGUGAGUAACACGUGAGUUACCUGCCCUUUACUUUUGGAUAACUUCAGGUAACUGGGGCUAAUACUGGAUAGGAGCUCCUGCUGCAUGGUGGGGGUUGGAAAGUUUCGGCGGUUGGGGAUGGACUCGCGGCUUAUCAGCUUGUUGGUGGGGUAGUGGCUUACCAAGGCUUUGACGGGUAGCCGGCCUGAGAGGGUGACCGGCAAAAUUGGGACUGAGAUAGGGCCCAGCCUCCUACGGGAGGAAGCGGGGGGAAAUAUGGAACAAUGGGCGGAAGCCUGAUGAGGCAACGCCGCGGGCGGGAUGACGGCCUUGGGGUUGUAAACCGCUUUAGCCUGUGACGAAGCGUGAGUGACGGUAAUGGCAAAAGAAGCACCGGCUAACUACGUG